Molecule: ribosomal RNA, 119 nt
Filed under: Octopus bimaculoides (California two-spot octopus)
Lineage: Eukaryota; Metazoa; Mollusca; Cephalopoda; Octopoda; Octopodidae
Source: RNAcentral
GUUUACGGCCAUAUCACAUUGAAAACACCGGUUCUCGUCCGAUAACCGAAGUUAAGCAACAUCGAGCCUAGUUAGUACUUAGAUGGGUGACCGCUUGGGAAACCUAGGUGCUGUAAACG